GUAUUUCACUGGGCUGCGACUAGAUACCAUGAUCAAAAAGGUGGUUCACACAGGGCAAGGCUUGGCCAUUGCACUCCGACUGUCUGACCCCUGCGAAUUCCCCAAAUGUGGGAAUCUCGACUGUAUAAUUUGUGGUAGUGGGGGACUGCGUUCGCGCUCUCCGCUG
Neoarius graeffei (lesser salmon catfish) is the source of this 166-nucleotide small nuclear RNA. RefSeq annotates it as U1 spliceosomal RNA. The transcript has a single exon. The record is from RefSeq and is a predicted model, not a curated record. NCBI's taxonomy places the organism in Eukaryota, Metazoa, Chordata, Actinopteri, Siluriformes, Ariidae.